GCCCCUGAUUGUGCAAGUUUCAGCCUACCGAAUUUUUUAGACAUUGGCGAGUGCCUAGGUGACUCUGGAAACCUAUGCAGUGCUGACACCGAAGGCAUUGGAGUUUUUCUUGGGAAACUUCUAGAGUGCUCAUUUGAAGGUCUCGGCACUCUUGAUCUGCGGUCGCAGAUUUACUUGAUAAUUGAAUUUCUCAAGUACCUCCUCGA
This is a long non-coding RNA of Rhipicephalus microplus (southern cattle tick), 206 nucleotides long. Lineage: Eukaryota; Metazoa; Arthropoda; Arachnida; Ixodida; Ixodidae. The record is from RefSeq and is a predicted model, not a curated record.